GAUGAAGAACGCAGCGAAAUGCGAUAAGUAAUGUGAAUUGCAGAAUUCAGUGAAUCAUCGAAUCUUUGAACGCACAUUGCGCCCCCUGGUAUUCCGGGGGGCAUGCCUGUUCGAGCGUCAUUUCACCACUCAAGCCUCGCUUGGUAUUGGGCAACGCGGUCCGCCGCGUGCCUCAAAUCGACCGGCUGGGUCUUCUGUCCCCUAAGCGUUGAGGAAACUAUUCGCUAAAGGGUGUUCGGGAGGCUACGCCGUAAAACAACCCCAUUUCUAAGGUUGACCUCGGAUCAGGUAGGGAUACCCGCUGAACUUAAGCAUAUCAAUAAGCGGAGGA
RNAcentral lists this unclassified non-coding RNA (331 nucleotides) under soil metagenome. Its description in RNAcentral is "partial contains 5.8S ribosomal RNA, internal transcribed spacer 2, and large subunit ribosomal RNA". The stretch from base 1 to 120 matches the Rfam family "5.8S ribosomal RNA", at positions 35 to 154 of the family's 154-position model. The record is from RNAcentral.